AUUGAACGCUGGCGGCAUGCUUUACACAUGCAAGUCGAACGGUAACAGGGAGCUUGCUCCGCUGACGAGUGGCGAACGGGUGAGUAAUGCAUCGGAACGUGCCGUGUAGUGGGGGAUAACGUAGCGAAAGUUACGCUAAUACCGCAUACGCCCUGAGGGGGAAAGUGGGGGACCGCAAGGCCUCACGCUAUACGAGCGGCCGAUGUCGGAUUAGCUAGUUGGUAGGGUAAAGGCCUACCAAGGCGACGAUCCGUAGCGGGUCUGAGAGGAUGAUCCGCCACACUGGGACUGAGACACGGCCCAGACUCCUACGGGAGGCAGCAGUGGGGAAUUUUGGACAAUGGGCGCAAGCCUGAUCCAGCCAUGCCGCGUGAGUG
Molecule: ribosomal RNA, 377 nt
Filed under: uncultured bacterium
Lineage: Bacteria
Description: bacterial SSU rRNA
Rfam family: Bacterial small subunit ribosomal RNA
Source: RNAcentral